AACCCUUGGCGAAGAGCCGAAGAGGUAGGGGCGUAGCAGCGUAGGGGUAGUCGCCGAGUCGGCCUUUUUUUUUUCUUUCAAUUUAGUCAUUUUAGAGUUUUAUUUUCACAAAUACAUAUUUUUCAGUUUCAAUUCAGGAAAUGCUCUUAGGUUGGCACCAUCAUUAUUGACGUCAAGCUACGUGUCGUCGCCAAUUAUUUUGGCAACUAGAUGUAAUCAUUGAGGCUAACAUGGAGCUGAUGUGGCAGCAAGUAGGCGCCAUCACUCUUGACGUCGAGGUAGUCGUCAUGGAUCUUAGCGUCGACCUACGGGGCUAUAAAUACC
RNAcentral lists this long non-coding RNA (324 nucleotides) under Zea mays. RNAcentral describes it as "long non-coding RNA (ZMAY_LNC005106)". The record is from RNAcentral. Lineage: Eukaryota; Viridiplantae; Streptophyta; Magnoliopsida; Poales; Poaceae.